CCUACGGGGGGUAGCAGUGGGGAAUAUUGCGCAAUGGGCGAAAGCCUGACGCAGCGACGCCGCGUGAGGGAUGAAGGUCUUCGGAUCGUAAACCUCUGUUAGCAGGGAAGAACGGUCACUUAGCUAAUCAGCAGUGAAUUGACGGUACCUGCAAAGGACGCACAGGCUAACUCCGUGCCAGCAGCCGCGGUAAUACGGAGGGUGCGAGCGUUAAUCGGAAUUACUGGGCGUAAAGCGCUCGUAGGCGGUAUGUCAAGUCAAAGGUGAAAUCCCCGGGCUCAACGUGGGAACUGCCUUUGAAACUGGCAAACUUGAGUGUGUGAGAGGAUAGUGGAAUUCCAGGUGUAGGGGUGAAAUCCGUAGAUAUCUGGAGGAACAUCAGUGGCGAAGGCGACUAUCUGGCACAUAACUGACGCUGAUGAGCGAAAGCGUGGGUAGCAAACAGGAUUAGAUACCCCAGUAGUC
RNAcentral lists this ribosomal RNA (465 nucleotides) under uncultured bacterium. RNAcentral's name for it is "partial 16S ribosomal RNA". It matches the Rfam family "Bacterial small subunit ribosomal RNA", at positions 338 to 795 of the family's 1533-position model. The record is from RNAcentral.